UUUUUUUUUUUUUCGGAGAUCUUUCGUCUGUGUUUAUUUUUUUUCAUAUAAAAGUUACAUGUUUGAAAUGUCUGCAGGAAGAUGCCACCAUCAGACAGGUUAGCUGGGGCAUAUAUAUUACAAUGUAACCCUGUGGAGGUCGUGGGGCUGGAGCGGGAGACGCUCCCCAGAAUUGGGUUUAGGUCAGACAUGGUGUGUGCCUGCCCCUCCUUGCCAACCCCGACGACACCUGCAGGUGAGGCCUGACCUCUGCAAGGAACGAGUCCUCUGCCUGGCUCCUGUCUGUUUGUGAAGACUGAUUCCCACAACCUGCCCGGCCCCCCAGAAGGAACAGACAAGCCAUGGCCAGGCCGCAGCACUGAGCACAGAGCUCAGCAAUAACCAGGGCCAGGAGCAGGGGGCGCAGGGGCACGCCUGCCAUCAGUAAAUGAGACAUACAUCGCACCUUGCCGUCCUCACGCAGGGAGCCCCGGGCACUGCUCAUGUGCUGCCUGGGCCCCGCUGCUCAGACCACCAAGGGCUCCCAACAAGGGCCUGGGGAGUUGCUUGGGCACACUGGGGCCAGGCACAGGGUCUGUUCUGAAUUCAGGGAAGGUGAAGAGACCCCCACCUCCACCUGGCUCAAGCCCAAGAACAAGGCAGACAGAGCUGUGGACAGCACCCGACCACAGACACGGUUCCACCUGCUGCUGGGGGGAGAGGCCUGGUUUCUGAGGCUGCAGCAUGGCACUGGCAUUGCCUGUGCUCCAGAGGGGGACUCCUACGAGUCUCACAAAUACAGGGAGAAUUUCAGUUCGCACAAACCCAAGGGCCCUGUGUGCAGAGAGGCCCUCACACGCGCACAGCAGCAUUCAACAGAGCUGGGCAAGGGAAGGGGAGAGAGAGGCAAGGAUUGAAAUGAAGGGACUUCAAAAAGAAGGAACAAACUAAAAACCCAACCCACACACAAUACUGUUAAUAAGCCAGCGACUCUACACACACACUCCUUAAAUAAUAAAGUGACAGGUCCCGGCUGGCCCUGCAGGACCACCGCCAGAGGGGGUCCCGCCGCCAGAGGGGGUCCCGCCUGCCACUGCACGGCUUUCCUCCCUCUAUCUACAGGACAAACAAAACAUGGGAGAGGGGAAAAAACCCACAUUUUCUUCUUGAUAAAUGCUGUUCAAAAACCCACGAAGGACUCAAAGUGACAUGGUUGUUUUAAAAAAAAACCCAAAUGAUCAACAGAUGUUGCUUUCUACGUUUUGCCUUUGUUCUGUUUGAACUGGGCUAAGCAUAGUUAGACCCUGCUGUUCACUUGACCCUGCUGUCCUAAACCUGGGACAAAUGAGCACUCAUUCAUGCACAGCAGACCCGGAGGCAUGGGCUGGGGCAGCACGACUGGGUUCCCGCAGUGCCCUGCCUGCAGGCUCAUGCUGGAGGCCACAGAGCCGGGCGGCACAGGGCAGGUUCUGUUUGCCAAGCGCCCCACAAGCCUUGCCCAGAUUGUCAAGCUCAGCAGCGAGAACGGUUUUGACGAGGAGGAGGGAAAGAGCAUCUGCUCUGCAAGCCGCUCUAGUGUGGCGAGAGUAGGGAGAGGGCGCACCUGCUGCAGCUGCUACCUUAGGAGGCUCCUCCGCGGCCAGGCCUCUGCCUCCCUGCACCCCGAGGGCCCAUUCGGGUGCCUCAGGGAUGCCCUUCCCUCCCAGGGGCACUGACAGCACUGGCUGAAAGGUCUGAAGAGCCAGAGGAGGAGCCCUGCUGGCCGGCCCAGGAUGGGGCGAGGAGGGAGGGAAGGCCAGGGGAUGGGGAGGGACAGGAGAUGGAGUUUAAGGCACACAGCGAGCGAUGGAGGAGGGAGGUGCUGGCCUCUCCCCUCUGAACUAACUCCCCCAGGAGCUCAGCUCUGGCCUCAGUUUGGUGAGGUUCAGAAGACUCCCAGCAAUAAAAAGUACUUCUUGGAUGAUCAAGUCCUCCCUUACUCCAGCCUCCUCUGCUCAGCUCCCCGGGUGGUGUGGGAGGGGCCCAGUGGCCUGGGGUGGGGGGUAAGGGGCGACAGGAUGACAGACACUGCUGCUGCUCUCAGCGGGCAAGGGAGGCCCUGAUGGCGCCAGUACCGCGGUGCAGAGCACCAGCUGCUAAGGGGUCACCUGCGUACCUUUCCGGGCCUGCUGCAAAGCUCACACCAUCCUCCAUG
This is a long non-coding RNA of Macaca mulatta (Rhesus monkey), 2173 nucleotides long. The record is from Ensembl. Lineage: Eukaryota; Metazoa; Chordata; Mammalia; Primates; Cercopithecidae.